UUUCAGACCAGCGUUGCAUGCUUUCAUGAGGUGACUGUGUACAGGUCUGUCUUAAAUGGAAAAAAAUAAAAACAAAAGCCUAGGGCAAACCAAAGACAUAUAAAGUGACCUGCUGUCAGGCAGAGGAAAUGAAAGAAGGAUGAGACAGACAACUGGAAGUGCAGGUGGUUUUACUGCUUUUGUGAUGAAACUGUCUUCUGCCUUUGAUUCCUUUAAGGGGAGCAUGCAGUUCAGCAAACCCCUACUUUAUUUCAGUGCAUGCAAAGUAGAUUACGGCGGCAUCCAAAGGAAGAACAAAUGGAAGUGAGAUUUUAGGGUCACAACAGAUAAAUGCCCUUGAAAGCACAGCUCUGAUUCCAUGGAAAGAGUGAAACAGGCAGGCUGAGUUUUGUCUGGUGCAGCAGUGAGUUCCUGUUCCAGCCUGAGGAGAUCGGUUCCCAAAACGUCCCUGAUGACCUGUGAAGCUUCUCUGUCAGUGGAAACAACAAGAAGGGGCACUUGGUUGAGGAAGAAAGUAUGGGCUAAUCAAAACAAGAUCAAGAACAAAGACCCAAGAAGUACAAGAGGAAGGAAGAAGAAAUUUAGUCCUUAACAAUGAGGAAAGAUGGUGCCAUGUAGUGACAACCCCUAUAUCACUGGAUGAUAACAUUACACAAGAGCUGCACCACAGCUGCUCCGCUGACUUCUGUAAGACAUUCUGUCUAUUGGUUCAUUGCAGAAGAGCCUGUUAAACACCAUGAAUCUUUUUGCUCAUAUUAGGAAGAAAAUGGCAGAGAAGAUGACCCUUUUUAAAGCUUCGGGUAGAUGCCGUGCAUCAGACUGGUGAGCUAGAUUAAACCUCCAAAGGCUUUGGCUGUCUUAAGCUCCAUUGAAGUCACUGGGAUCUGAAGAUGCUCACAACUUUCUAAUUACGGUGCUGUUUGCUCCAAAGUAUACAUAUUCUUCCAGAAAGAGAGAACUACUCUUCUGAAGCAGCAGGUAAGGAAAGAAUAUGGGUAGAAGAUUUGUGGAGAAAUGGGAAAGGAUAUUUAAUAUAUUUAAUCUUAUUAUACAUUUUUCUACAUUAAAGUCAACAGGCUGCAAAUAUAUUUUGCUACAAAGCUUUUUGUAAGAAAUAUCUCUAUAAGAAAAUACAUCUCCUUAAACAUUUCCUGUAAAUAAAUUAUCCCACAUAACUAUGUUUUGUAAGAGGAGAAGGGGGAGGGUUAGGCUAACGAUAAGAAGAGCCAAAAAUUGCUGAGCCCAUUUCUGCAACCCCACUGCUCGAUCUGGGUUACAUUUUCUUGUACGUGUAGUUGCAAUUAAGGCAACAGAGCUCCUCUGCUGAGUGUGUGCUGUCUUGCAGAAUUGGUUCCUGUACUUUUUUAAUAUCUUGAAAUUAUCCUAUUUCUGAACCUUAUUACUGUUUUAGGUACACAAGAACUCCCCUGAAAUAACUGGAGCUGAGCUGUGAGAUUGAAGUCUGACUGAGACUGCUAAAAAACAAAAGAGCUCCCUCAUGGCAAUUAAAGAUAACUCCAGUAAGGUAAGAGGCUUGUGAAUUACUCUUAAUUUUCUUUCAUAAGAGUCUAAAGGCAAUGUAUUCUAAUUAGGAAAUCUGAGCCUCAGUGGGUGCAUAAGGUGUAACUUUAAAGCAACUGCUGGUAGAGAUGAGUCAGUGGAAAAAGGUGUUGUAGGUACGGGAUAACGUGGUCUCAAAACUACAUAUUGGUGUAUCUGUGAUCAGAACUGAUAAAACAGAAAAGUCUCUUAUGUUACAAAAUAUGAAGCUGAGUAAUAACAAAUGGAUAAUGACAGAUUAGCAGUAGGUCAGUUAUAGAAUCAGACUUCUUAAAAGAAAUAUCAGUCUCUUUAUCAAUGUCUAUACAAAGGAAUUACUUGUGAACAAGACAAAAGUUUGAAAAGAACUGUGUGAGAAAUCAAAGGAAGGAGACUAUCCUUUUUUUAACCGCUACACAAACAAUGUAGAAUUGUUUCCAUAGUCCAGUACUUCCAUAAUUCCUGACAGAAAAAUCCAGAGAAGAUCUUUAGAAGAGAUCAAGUUCAUGUUAGAUACAUGCCAGAAACUGGUAUGCUGCAUCAUCACAUGAUGCUUAGUAAGUCUUUUGUGGCUGUACCAUAUUUUCUUGCAUUGUUUUCUGCAGGAGAGGAAGUGCUCACAAAAUCCAACUGUUUUUUUCCUCUUUGCUACCUCUAAAAAAGAACUCCAUUUAUGCUUCUGCAGAAUGCAAUCAGAUUUAGCACUAAUAGCAAACUGCAGCCCAUUGCUACUAUUAAAGAGUAAACUUUGAGUUUAUAGCAGUACAAUCUAAAUCCCCCAAUAAGUACCUACAUCUUCUGUUAUAACAGCAACAACAGCGCAAUUUCAUAUCUCUUAGUGUUAGGUAUUCAACACUCCAGUAUCUCUUUGGAAAUGUCUAUAAUGAAGGUAAUGUUUAGGAACAGAAAGUAUAUUUAGGACUAAUGAGCAACUGUCUGUCUAUAAUUCUGGAUUCAGCAUGCAUGUAUUUGUUUCAUCUGUUCAAUCCAAUGUACGCUAGCAGUAAACCGACACAAAUACAAGCGAUUAAGUGCCCUACUAUGACAUUGAACUACAUAAAGCAUUUCAGUUCGCCUAAAUAUAGGAAAGAAAACCCUGUUUAAAUGACUCUGAUUAGAGAAACUGCUUGCUGUCUUGAAAUCAAGAGAUGGCAAAUUUUCACCUUUUUGUGAGGGCCUGCAAAAUUUAGGACUCUUGUAGCAGUCCUGCAAGCGUGCUUUCUUUGCUGAAGAGUCAGCCCUGCAUGACAAGAGUGUAUGGAGAUUCACAGUAACUGUAUUUCCAUCCCUCGCACCUGCAAUAUAUAAUAUUUUACUCACUGAUAAUGUGUUGACAGACAAGUCUUCCUGGAAUGCACUGCUUCCUAUAGGAGUACAACGUAUACAAUUUAUUUAGCAGGCAUUGCCAUGGUGGAAAACCACUGUAGCCCUUAUACCGGCCCCUGGAACAUCAUGGGACAACACAGCAAGAUGGAAAUGGAAUAGAGGAAAUUAAAUGACUUUGCUAUGCCAAGACCACAUAAGAAGUCCACAGUACCCAGUCAUGUUUUCCAUUCACUGCAGUGAUCUCUCUGGAAUAUUUAAUGUGUAGUCUGGAAGUGUCCCUGAGAGAAAAAUCCACUCUGAAGUCCUUGGGAGUAUUCACACUGAUUUCACUGGGCACUGUCCUGGACCCUCAACCUCAGCAGACUAUUUGCCCAACCAACAUCUAUGUAUUUACAUCUUAACUGAGGUGAACAAGGCAACAUGAAUGCUUACAUUGAGCCACAUAUGCUUAAGCUACUUGAUUAACUGGGUAACAAGCUGUAUUAUUUAUGACAUCAAUAAGAUACAAAUUGAUGAUAGUGAUUUAUUAUAUUGAUAAUAAAUUCCUGAUAACUUGCCACUGAGUUUAGUACCUACCAGUACAAUUUCUCUUCUCUGCAUUUGUCUCAUUUCUGUUUGAACAGUUCCAUAUGGCUCCCACAGCAUCACCGGGCAACGAGCUAUACCAUGUGAAAUAGUAGUUCAGGCUGUCUGAUAAUUGCACACUGUCUGCUCUUGGUUCUUCUAGGAACAUAAUGAGGAAUUGCUC
Molecule: long non-coding RNA, 3613 nt
Organism: Numida meleagris (helmeted guineafowl)
Lineage: Eukaryota; Metazoa; Chordata; Aves; Galliformes; Numididae
Exons: 11
Source: RefSeq, a predicted model, not a curated record